AUUGAACGCUGGCGGCAUGCUUUACACAUGCAAGUCGAACGGCAGCGCGGGCCUCGGCCUGGCGGCGAGUGGCGAACGGGUGAGUAAUACAUCGGAACGUGCCCAGUAGUGGGGGAUAGCUCGGCGAAAGCCGGAUUAAUACCGCAUACGACCUGAGGGUGAAAGCGGGGGAUCUUCGGACCUCGCGCUAUUGGAGCGGCCGAUGGCAGAUUAGCUAGUUGGUGGGGUAAAGGCCUACCAAGGCGACGAUCUGUAGCUGGUCUGAGAGGACGACCAGCCACACUGGGACUGAGACACGGCCCAGACUCCUACGGGGGGCAGCAGUGGGGAAUUUUGGACAAUGGGCGAAAGCCUGAUCCAGCAAUGCCGCGUGUGUGAUGAAGGCCUUCGGGUUGUAAAGCACUUUUGGCGGGAACGAAAAGGACUGUGCCAAUACCACGGUUCGAUGACGGUACCCGCAGAAUAAGCACCGGCUAACUACGUG
RNAcentral lists this ribosomal RNA (484 nucleotides) under uncultured bacterium. Its description in RNAcentral is "partial 16S ribosomal RNA". It matches the Rfam family "Bacterial small subunit ribosomal RNA", at positions 29 to 507 of the family's 1533-position model. The record is from RNAcentral.